UACGAGGGGGGCAAGCGUUGUUCGGAAUUAUUGGGCGUAAAGGGUGCGUAGGCGGUUUGGUAAGUCUUAUGUGAAAUCUACAGGCUCAACUUGUAGUCUGCAUGAGGAACUGCCGGGCUUGAGUAUGGGAGAGGUGAGUGGAAUUCCUGGUGUAGCGGUGAAAUGCGUAGAUAUCAGGAGGAACACCUGUGGCGAAAGCGGCUCACUGGACCAUAACUGACGCUGAUGCACGAAAGCUAGGGGAGCAAACAGG
Molecule: ribosomal RNA, 253 nt
Filed under: uncultured bacterium
Lineage: Bacteria
Description: partial 16S ribosomal RNA
Rfam family: Bacterial small subunit ribosomal RNA
Source: RNAcentral